AUUUAGAUAGUUUAUUAAAAAAUAUUAGUUUGUGGUGCUAAAGAGGUAUAUAUAAUAUACUCUAGAUA
RNAcentral lists this transfer RNA (68 nucleotides) under Tetraloides heterodactylus. RNAcentral describes it as "tRNA-His". The record is from RNAcentral. Lineage: Eukaryota; Metazoa; Arthropoda; Malacostraca; Decapoda; Tetraliidae.